CACCCCAGCCCCAGCCCCGUUCAGGAGGCAUUUAGGUGUCACAACCGCGGGCAUUUCAUUUAUCACUCUCUUUUAGUUUCACCGUGGUUUCUUUUCGGAUACGUGCCUGUGGAUGGUCUCCUGGCGUAACUCAGCAGUUGGGCAGAACGCAAAACUUGGAUCCAAGAUCAUUGUUAAGAAUAUACCAUAUGCAUUUAAGUUGUGUUACCUAACUCCUCCAAGUUAGAUGGCCAUCAGUAACAGUGAAAAGAUACUAAGAAACCCUACAGUUUGGAAUCAGGCCAUUCAGCCCAUCAAG
This is a long non-coding RNA of Chiloscyllium plagiosum (whitespotted bambooshark), 298 nucleotides long. RefSeq lists it as uncharacterized. The record is from RefSeq and is a predicted model, not a curated record. Lineage: Eukaryota; Metazoa; Chordata; Chondrichthyes; Orectolobiformes; Hemiscylliidae.